UGCCUUAGUAACGGCGAGUGAAGCGGCAAAAGCUCAAAUUUGAAAUCUGACACUUUUAGUGUCCGAGUUGUAAUUUGAAGAAAGUUUCUCUGAGUAGUCCUUUAUCUAUGUUCCUUGGAACAGGACGUCAUAGAGGGUGAGAACCCCGUAUGAUUUUGGAUACUAUUCUUUGUGAGAUUCUUUCGAAGAGUCGAGUUGUUUGGGAAUGCAGCUCUAAGUGGGUGGUAAAUUCCAUCUAAAGCUAAAUAUUGGCGAGAGACCGAUAGCGAACAAGUACAGUGAUGGAAAGAUGAAAAGAACUCUGAAGAGAGAGUGAAAAAGUACGUGAAAUUGCUGAAAGGGAAGGGCUUUAGGUUAGACUUGGUGUUUAGUGAUUAUCUUCCCUUCUGGGUUGUGCACUCGCUUUUCACUGGGCCAAUAUCAGUUUUGGCGACAAAGUACCUAUUGGAAUGUAGCUUCUCUCGAGAAGUGUUAUAGCCUUUAGACGAUUUGUUUCUGGGACUGAGGACUGCGCAUUUAUGCUAGGAUAUUGGCGUAAUAACCCUAAGCCGC
This 552-nucleotide ribosomal RNA is filed under the name Saccharomycopsis sp. Lym2-1. RNAcentral describes it as "partial 28S ribosomal RNA". It matches the Rfam family "Eukaryotic large subunit ribosomal RNA", at positions 76 to 648 of the family's 3401-position model. The record is from RNAcentral. Lineage: Eukaryota; Fungi; Ascomycota; Saccharomycetes; Ascoideales; Saccharomycopsidaceae.